GGUUGACAGCAGCAGCUACAUAACCACCAAGGCUUGGGGCCAGGGGAGCCGGAUAUGGGAGCGGUGGGUUCCCGGUCCUGCAGAUAGCAGGAAGGGCGGAGAGGGUGCAGCUCCAUCUGCCCACUCCCAGGCCGCACUUCUCAGUGGAAAAUGUGCCAUGAUGAAAGCAGAGAUCAAGUUACCGGUGGAAGGAAGAGCUCCCGCAUACUCUGGCUGACAUGCUUUCUACUCAUGGCUCACAGCGAACAGUGGGCAGCCGCCCAGAGCAGGUCAGAGAACGAUCAUAAACGGGGGCACGUCCUAGCCGCGUCUUUCACAGCCAUUUGCUCUGCGAAUGUCACACUGUACCAGGAUAAUUGGAGGGCUCUGGUGAGCUGGUGAGGGAAUUAGGGCUUUUCCUAAGAAAGACAAAAGCGGAGCAGCAGCUCCCAGCUCUGAGCCGGUUGCCCUGUUUCUUCAAAAAUAGGUCCUCUAACAUGGAGACGCAGAAAUCUAAACCCCCUCACCCCCACCUCCCCGCCCCCCAUGAUGUGAACAGAACAAACACCUAUUUCAUGAAAGAGAUGCAUUUUCAAGAUCACAGCAGCAGGACACUCUGGCUGCUUGGUCACCUCGGUGUUUUGGAAAAGGAAAAGAGAAUUCAGCAUUAAAGACUCAGGAAUGCUGGCUGACAUAUUAAGGAAGCAGCCUCCGGGGACAGCUGACGAGGCUCAGAGCAGCAUCGCCAGGGGAACGGUGACGCAAAUGCGUCCGUUUUCACAGGCUGGCAGGCUGCCAGGCUCCCUCCCGCGGCUGAUGUCAUGCUAAUCCCUAUCUGGGUUAGCGUUGCGUGGAUAUGGGCUCAGGCGGCUCCCGUCAGCUGCAAUCAGCAGCAGGCUCCUUUUAUAGAAGAUAGUAAAGAGGGGGGGGGGGAGCGCGCACACCAGAUUCCCGUGUGCCGAAAACCUCUGCACCGUGAAAGUAAAAGGGAAAAGAGAAGGAAGGAGCCAUGUAAGCCCAAGCCUUCUCAGCAGUCGGGUGUGCCCACGUGCAGUGGCACAACUAAGGAUCGUGUCCAAUUCCGAGCUGAGCUCAAUAAUGAGGGCAGUCAACAGAGCAUGUCAGGUGGGAAUGUGAAAAUAACCAUCUUGUCCAUUAUUGAAUACAUGGAUUGAUUCCUUCUAAACUUAUGUGUAAAAAAAUAUGGCUUUUUAAAAACUUUGCUCUUCAGGACCACUGUUUCUCAGAUAUUUUAGAGUAAAAAAUGAGGAUAAUAAUUAUGCAAAUUUUAAUCAGCCUUGGAUGGAAUGCUUCUGUGAAGUGUCCUCCGGAAUCUGUUGAGAGCCAAUUUCUAUUUCCUCUCUCAGGCCUGGUGUUCAGCUAUCCAAGAGCCAUAAGGAGGAGCCGUUUUGGAAGUGCCCCCCAUGAUGAGCGUUCUGACUUAUUCACUAGAUCAGACUUGGGUGGAAGGACCUGAAAGACCAAUCACAAAUACACACUUGGUCACUUCAGAGUGCAAAUCAUCAAAUCUGCCCCCCAAGAGAAAGGGGGUAGAGGAUGAGCACUAGCUCAGACAGCAGAGCUAUUUAAUAGGAAACUACAGGGAUGGUGACGGCAUAGGACAACAGUCCUCAAGAAGGGCAGUGACGUGGAGAAACGGCACACUCUUAAUCUUUUACAUGUUGAUAGCACAUUUCUUUCAAGAUAAGUUUCUUUAAAUUGGGCGUGGUAGCACAUGCCUGUAUUUCCAGUGGCUUAGGAGACUGAGGCAAGAGGAUCGAGAGUUCAAAGCCAGCCUCAGCAACUCAGCGAGACCCUGUCUCUAACCUAUAAAAAAGGGCUGGAGACAUAGCUCAGCAGAUAAGUGCCCCUGGGUUCAAUCCCUGGUACCAAAAACAAAAACAAAAACCAAAAAAAAAAAAAAAGAGAGAGAGAAGUUUCUUUUUGUUUGUUUUUCUCUCAACCUAAUAGAAGUUUAAGGAAAUGCACCUGGAAUUAUAGGAAAGGAGGUGGUACACACAUAUUUUUCUGAGAAAUGAACACAUAGAUUUUAUUAAUUUCUCACAGGGGUCCAGGAACCCCCACCCCAAAGUUGAAACUGAUGGAUUCUAAGGAGUUAAAAAUUCUUUAGAAAUCCGAUCUCAAUUAUUCUUCACCUCCCAAGGAGAUCAUUUAUUUACAGAUAGAGAAAGUGGGAAACUGGGAGGUCAGUGAAGAAGAGGUUUAUCGUUAUCUAGGCCACUAUAUCAGACGUUCUCUGUAGUUUGUCCACUAGCCAGGAACGCCCAUGAAGGGAGGGCCAGAGGGAGCUCAAGAUGCCUCCUGAGAAGCUGACCUUCAACUCAGUGGAUACUUGGCUCUCCAGCAUCCCUGUGGCUCCUGCCUAUCCCUCUACAUCUCCCUGCCUCCCUCAGCCAGGGCCCCAGCCAGCAGGAGACGCCACUGCAGAACUUCACCAUCUUAACCGUCUCGCUGGGAAUGUAUGUUUAGUUUUCUUGAGUAAGAAAUGUUGGCUUCAGAAGCUGGAAAGAGUUGAUACCUGACAGAGAGGAUCCAGAGGAGGAAGGGAGCCUGCACAGGGGAGAGAGGAGAGAACAUGGUUGGACGCAGUCCUUGCUCAGCCGGGUCUUUUCUUCAUGCUCUCCUCCAGCUCGGCCAAGACAGGAACGUGCUCCCCAGGUUCAGCAACUUGUGUGGGGCAGAGGCCGGCAAUGGGUGGACAACGAAGCCCACUCCCCAAGACAGGGUGGAGGAAGGCACAGAGUCAGGAGCAUGCGGCGGGGGGGGGGGGCUUCUGGGAAGCAAUACAAUUUGAUGUCAGCUUUCUGGUCAUAACAAAAUAUCUGUUCAUUGUUGAAAUUUUGGGGAUAAAAAGAGAAAAGAAGAGGAAGAAAAAACCUGCAAUCCCCUCUCCAGCUAUCUUUCUGAAUAAACAAAU
RNAcentral lists this long non-coding RNA (2917 nucleotides) under Marmota monax (woodchuck). The record is from RNAcentral. Lineage: Eukaryota; Metazoa; Chordata; Mammalia; Rodentia; Sciuridae.